AGAGGGAUAGCUGGGUCAAAUGGUGGUUCCAUUCCCAGAUUUCCAAGGAAUCUCCAUACUGCUUUCCAUAUUGGCUGCACCAAUUUGCAGUCCCACAAGCAAU
Molecule: microRNA precursor, 103 nt
Filed under: Marmota monax (woodchuck)
Lineage: Eukaryota; Metazoa; Chordata; Mammalia; Rodentia; Sciuridae
Source: RNAcentral